GCUUGGAUGGCUCAGUUGGUUAGAGCGCAGGUCUCAUACUUUCGUAUGACUGUGAUGUACGCAGCAAUCCUGAGGUCAUGAGUUCGAUCCUCAUUCCGAGCA
Molecule: transfer RNA, 102 nt
Filed under: Cristinia sonorae
Lineage: Eukaryota; Fungi; Basidiomycota; Agaricomycetes; Agaricales; Stephanosporaceae
Rfam family: tRNA
About the family: Transfer RNA (tRNA) molecules are approximately 80 nucleotides in length.
Source: Rfam by way of RNAcentral